Molecule: unclassified non-coding RNA, 293 nt
Filed under: uncultured Christensenellaceae bacterium
Lineage: Bacteria; Bacillati; Bacillota; Clostridia; Christensenellales; Christensenellaceae
Description: contains 16S-23S intergenic spacer region
Source: RNAcentral
AGGACUACCCGGGUAUCUAAUCCUGUUUGCUCCCCACGCUUUCGCGCCUCAGCGUCAGUUUCAGUCCAGAAAGCCGCCUUCGCCACUGGUGUUCCUACCGAUCUCUACGCAUUUCACCGCUACACCGGUAAUUCCGCUUUCCUCUCCUGCACUCCAGCCCACCAGUAUCCAAAGCAAUUCCCACCUUGAAAGCAGGACUUUCACUCCAGACUUAGCAGGCCGCCUACGCGCCCUUUACGCCCAAUCAUUCCGGACAACGCUCGCCCCCUACGUAUUACCGCGGCUGCUGGCAC